AGCUUUGCGCAGUGGCAGUAUCGUAGCCAAUGAGGUUUAUCCGAGGCGCGAUUAUUGCUAAUUGAAAAGCUAGAGAUAGGAGUGAAGUAAGUCAGAAAGAGAAAAACAAAUACUGUAUGCUAACACAUAUAUAUGGAAUCUAGGGGAAAAAAAUGGUUCUGAAGAACCUAG
Phocoena sinus (vaquita) is the source of this 171-nucleotide small nuclear RNA. Its record names the gene U4. It matches the Rfam family "U4 spliceosomal RNA". Rfam says of the family: U4 small nuclear RNA (U4 snRNA) is a component of the major U2-dependent spliceosome. The structure of U4 snRNA from yeast and human has been reported. U4 snRNA presents a k-turn RNA motif in the 5p-SL related to recognition of Snu13 protein. The record is from Ensembl. NCBI's taxonomy places the organism in Eukaryota, Metazoa, Chordata, Mammalia, Artiodactyla, Phocoenidae.